GAGUGGAGGUGAGGGUGGCACGCAUCUUUAACACCUUUGGGUCCCGGAUGCACAUGAACGACGGCCGUGUGGUCAGCAACUUCAUACUGCAGGCUCUACAGGGAGAGCCCCUCACCGUGUAUGGUAGUGGAUCCCAGACGAGGGCCUUCCAGUAUGUGAGACUGAUAGUUGGGCUCGGUUGGAGGGGCGUAGGGGUCUGGAUAUAUCAACUUUGUAACACUCGCAGGAAUCUGGAGGCAAUGGACAGGCGGCUGGCUGGACAUGGGAACUCCGACCACAAGUUUUUUUAGGGGAGAGAAAGGUAAUAUUUGCUUUAGAUUACAAAGG
Oncorhynchus masou masou (cherry salmon) is the source of this 327-nucleotide long non-coding RNA. RefSeq lists it as uncharacterized. The record is from RefSeq and is a predicted model, not a curated record. The transcript is spliced from 3 exons. NCBI's taxonomy places the organism in Eukaryota, Metazoa, Chordata, Actinopteri, Salmoniformes, Salmonidae.